GUUGCGGUUAAAAAGCUCGUAGUUGGAUCUCGGCAGGUAGGGGGCGGUUCGUUUCUGACGGCACUGCCCCAUUUACCUGUGUUUUUGACGGAGGUCUCAGGGUGCUCUUUACCGAGUGUCCUGAUACGCCGUCAGGUUUACUUUGAAAAAAUUAGAGUGCUCAAAGCAGGCUACAAGCUUGAAUAUUUGUGCAUGGAAUAAUGGAAUAGGACGUCGUUUCUAUUUUUUUUGGUUUUCGGAAAUUGACGUAAUGAUUAAUAGGGACAGCCGGGGGCAUUAGUAUUCAGACGACAGAGGUGAAAUUCUUGGACCGUUUGAAGACUAACCACUGCGAAAGCAUUUGCCAAGAGUGUUUUCAUUAAUCAAGAACGAAAGUCAGAGGUUCGAAGGCGAUCAGAUACCGCCCUAGUUCUAACCAUAAACGAUGCUGACUAGCGAUCCGUAGCUGUUUUCUAUGUAGGCUCUACGGGAAGCUUCCGGGAAACCAAAGUUUUUGAGUUCCGGGGGAA
Molecule: ribosomal RNA, 509 nt
Filed under: uncultured marine eukaryote
Lineage: Eukaryota
Description: partial 18S ribosomal RNA
Rfam family: Eukaryotic small subunit ribosomal RNA
Source: RNAcentral